CUAAGUGGCGGACGGGUGAGUAAUGUAUAGUUAAUCUGCCCUUUAGAGGGGGAUAACAGUUGGAAACGACUGCUAAUACCCCAUACUCCUUUUACAUUAAUUGUAAUUGGGAAACGUUUUUUCGCUAAAGGAUGAGACUAUAUGGUAUCAGGUAGUUGGUGGGGUAAGGGCCCACCAAGCCAAUGACGCCUAGCUGGUCUGAGAGGAUGAUCAGCCACACUGGAACUGAGACACGGUCCAG
Molecule: ribosomal RNA, 241 nt
Filed under: uncultured bacterium
Lineage: Bacteria
Description: partial 16S ribosomal RNA
Rfam family: Bacterial small subunit ribosomal RNA
Source: RNAcentral